UGCAAACACAAGAAAGACUUAAAAAACACAUUUGUUUAAAAAAACAUAUGUCAUCUUCCUAUAUGAGAUAAACUCAUACCUACAUGAUAACAAAUUAAAUGCAAUAAACUCUAUUCUUCUUUCUUAUUUAUCUAUUUAAAUAUUUUUCUAUUUUUCUAUGUGAUUUUUCCUAAUCUUUUCAGUAUAUACAUGCAUAUUAGAACUUUUAAAAUGUACAUGUGUGUACAUACAUACAUACAUACAUACAUACAUACAUACAUACAUCCUUUGGCAUUGCUUUUGAAAACUUCUUGUGUAAACCUAUUUAACAAGUAAAGCAAAUUCUUCAAAAGAGAACAAUUUUCAGUCACAGAAAUGGAUUCUCAUCACCCAAACUACACAAGAUGACGACACAACAUGUGACACCACAAUAGAACAGAUCGGGCAACGCUGAAAGAAAUCCAACCCAGAGGGCGGAAAGCACAAGCCCACACCACGAAGGCACCCAAAUCA
Molecule: long non-coding RNA, 492 nt
Filed under: Physcomitrium patens
Lineage: Eukaryota; Viridiplantae; Streptophyta; Bryopsida; Funariales; Funariaceae
Description: long non-coding RNA (PPAT_LNC011085)
Source: RNAcentral